This 440-nucleotide ribosomal RNA is filed under the name uncultured bacterium. RNAcentral's name for it is "partial 16S ribosomal RNA". It matches the Rfam family "Bacterial small subunit ribosomal RNA", at positions 338 to 795 of the family's 1533-position model. The record is from RNAcentral.
CCUACGGGCGGCAGCAGUAGGGAAUAUUGCUCAAUGGGGGAAACCCUGAAGCAGCAACGCCGCGUGGAGGAUGAAGGUUUUCGGAUUGUAAACUCCUUUUGUUAGAGAAGAUAAUGACGGUAUCUAACGAAUAAGCACCGGCUAACUCCGUGCCAGCAGCCGCGGUAAUACGGAGGGUGCAAGCGUUACCCGGAAUCACUGGGCGUAAAGAGGGCGUAGGCGGGAUAGCAAGUCAGAUGUGAAAUCCUAUGGCUUAACCAUAGAACUGCAUUUGAAACUGUUAUUCUAGAGUAUGGGAGAGGUAGGUGGAAUUCUUGGUGGAGGGGUAAAAUCCGUAGAGAUCAAGAGGAAUACUCAUUGCGAAGGCGACCUGCUAGAACAUAACUGACGCUGAUGCGCGAAGGCGUGGGGAGCAAACAGGAUUAGAUACCCGUGUAGUC